GAACCGACUAAUGUUGAAAAAUUAGCGGAUGACUUGUGGCUGGGGGUGAAAGGCCAAUCAAACCGGGAGAUAGCUGGUUCUCCCCGAAAGCUAUUUAGGUAGCGCCUCGUGAAUUCAUCUCCGGGGGUAGAGCACUGUUUCGGCAAGGGGGUCAUCCCGACUUACCAACCCGAUGCAAACUGCGAAUACCGGAGAAUGUUAUCACGGGAGACACACGGCGGGUGCUAACGUCCGUCGUGAAGAGGGAAACAACCCAGACCGCCAGCUAAGGUCCCAAAGUCAUGGUUAAGUGGGAAACGAUGUGGGAAGGCCCAGACAGCCAGGAUGUUGGCUUAGAAGCAGCCAUCAUUUAAAGAAAGCGUAAUAGCUCACUGGUCGAGUCGGCCUGCGCGGAAGAUGUAACGGGGCUAAACCAUGCACCGAAGCUGCGGCAGCGACGCUGAUGCGUUGUUGGGUAGGGGAGCGUUCUGUAAGCCUGUGAAGGUGUGCUGUGAGGCAUGCUGGAGGUAUCAGAAGUGCGAAUGCUGACAUAAGUAACGAUAAAGCGGGUGAAAAGCCCGCUCGCCGGAAGACCAAGGGUUCCUGUCCAACGUUAAUCGGGGCAGGGUGAGUCGACCCCUAAGGCGAGGCCGAAAGGCGUAGUCGAUGGGAAACAGGUUAAUAUUCCUGUACUUGGUGUUACUGCGAAGGGGGGACGGAGAAGGCUAUGUUGGCCGGGCGACGGUUGUCCCGGUUUAAGCGUGUAGGCUGGUUUUCCAGGCAAAUCCGGAAAAUCAAGGCUGAGGCGUGAUGACGAGGCACUACGGUGCUGAAGCAACAAAUGCCCUGCUUCCAGGAAAAGCCUCUAAGCAUCAGGUAACAUCAAAUCGUACCCCAAACCGACACAGGUGGUCAGGUAGAGAAUACCAAGGCGCUUGAGAGAACUCGGGUGAAGGAACUAGGCAAAAUGGUGCCGUAACUUCGGGAGAAGGCACGCUGAUAUGUAGGUGAAGCGACUUGCUCGUGGAGCUGAAAUCAGUCGAAGAUACCAGCUGGCUGCAACUGUUUAUUAAAAACACAGCACUGUGCAAACACGAAAGUGGACGUAUACGGUGUGACGCCUGCCCGGUGCCGGAAGGUUAAUUGAUGGGGUCAGCGCAAGCGAAGCUCUUGAUCGAAGCCCCGGUAAACGGCGGCCGUAACUAUAACGGUCCUAAGGUAGCGAAAUUCCUUGUCGGGUAAGUUCCGACCUGCACGAAUGGCGUAAUGAUGGCCAGGCUGUCUCCACCCGAGACUCAGUGAAAUUGAACUCGCUGUGAAGAUGCAGUGUACCCGCGGCAAGACGGAAAGACCCCGUGAACCUUUACUAUAGCUUGACACUGAACAUUGAGCCUUGAUGUGUAGGAUAGGUGGGAGGCUUUGAAGUGUGGACGCCAGUCUGCAUGGAGCCGGCCUUGAAAUACCACCCUUUAAUGUUUGAUGUUCUAACGUUGACCCGU
Molecule: ribosomal RNA, 1478 nt
Filed under: Escherichia coli
Lineage: Bacteria; Pseudomonadati; Pseudomonadota; Gammaproteobacteria; Enterobacterales; Enterobacteriaceae
Description: partial 23S ribosomal RNA
Rfam family: Bacterial large subunit ribosomal RNA
Source: RNAcentral